GACGUAGGGCGCGAGCGUUGUCCGGAUUUAUUGGGCGUAAAGAGCUCGUAGGCGGCUCGGUAAGUCGGAUGUGAAACCUCCAGGCUCAACCUGGAGACGCCAUCUGAUACUGCCGUGGCUUGAGUCCGGUAGAGGAGCAGGGAAUUCCUGGUAUAGCGGUGAAAUGCGCAGAUAUCAGGAGGAACACCGGUGGCGAAGGCGGUUCUCUGGGCAUUACCUGACGCUGAGGAGCGAAAGUGUGGGGAGCGAACAGG
Molecule: ribosomal RNA, 254 nt
Filed under: uncultured bacterium
Lineage: Bacteria
Description: partial 16S ribosomal RNA
Rfam family: Bacterial small subunit ribosomal RNA
Source: RNAcentral